GUCCACCUCUUCCCAUUCCGAACAGAGAAGUUAAGCCCGCCAGAGCCGAUGGUACUGCAGUAACAUGUGGGAGAGUAGGUCGGCGCCAAAU
RNAcentral lists this ribosomal RNA (91 nucleotides) under Pedobacter sp. The record is from RNAcentral. Lineage: Bacteria; Pseudomonadati; Bacteroidota; Sphingobacteriia; Sphingobacteriales; Sphingobacteriaceae.